RNAcentral lists this ribosomal RNA (443 nucleotides) under uncultured bacterium. Its description in RNAcentral is "partial 16S ribosomal RNA". It matches the Rfam family "Bacterial small subunit ribosomal RNA", at positions 338 to 795 of the family's 1533-position model. The record is from RNAcentral.
CCUACGGGAUGCAGCAGUGGGGAAUAUUGGACAAUGGGGGGAACCCUGAUCCAGCGACGCCGCGUGAGUGAAGACGUAUUUCGGUAUGUAAAGCUCUAUCAGCAGGGAAGAAAGAAAUGACGGUACCUGACUAAGAAGCCCCGGCUAACUACGUGCCAGCAGCCGCGGUAAUACGUAGGGGGCAAGCGUUAUCCGUAUUUACUGGGUGUCAAGGGAGCGUAGACGGCGAUGCAAGUCUGAAGUGAAAGGCGGGGGCACAACCCCCGGACUGCUUUGGAAACUGUAUGGCUGGAGUGCAGGAGAGGUAAGUGGAAUUCCUAGUGUAGCGGUGAAAUGCGUAGAUAUUAGGAGGAACACCAGUGGCGAAGGCGGCUUACUGGACUGUAACUGACGUUGAGGCUCGAAAGCGUGGGGAGCAAACAGGAUUAGAUACCCGGGUAGUC